Molecule: ribosomal RNA, 562 nt
Filed under: uncultured Proteus sp.
Lineage: Bacteria; Pseudomonadati; Pseudomonadota; Gammaproteobacteria; Enterobacterales; Morganellaceae
Description: bacterial SSU rRNA
Rfam family: Bacterial small subunit ribosomal RNA
Source: RNAcentral
CCGCAAGGUUUAAAACUCAAAUGAAUUGAACGGGGGCCCGCACAAGCGGUGGAGCAUGUGGUUUAAUUCGAUGCAACGCGAAGAACCUUACCUACUCUUGACAUCCAGCGAAUCCUUUAGAGAUAGAGGAGUGCCUUCGGGAACGCUGAGACAGGUGCUGCAUGGCUGUCGUCAGCUCGUGUUGUGAAAUGUUGGGUUAAGUCCCGCAACGAGCGCAACCCUUAUCCUUUGUUGCCAGCACGUAAUGGUGGGAACUCAAAGGAGACUGCCGGUGAUAAACCGGAGGAAGGUGGGGAUGACGUCAAGUCAUCAUGGCCCUUACGAGUAGGGCUACACACGUGCUACAAUGGCAGAUACAAAGAGAAGCGACCUCGCGAGAGCAAGCGGAACUCAUAAAGUCUGUCGUAGUCCGGAUUGGAGUCUGCAACUCGACUCCAUGAAGUCGGAAUCGCUAGUAAUCGUAGAUCAGAAUGCUACGGUGAAUACGUUCCCGGGCCUUGUACACACCGCCCGUCACACCAUGGGAGUGGGUUGCAAAAGAAGUAGGUAGCUUAACCUUCGU